GUUAAUUCAUAUUCCUUUUCUUGUGAGAAAAGAAACUGGGAAAUUCUGGUUUGGCAGCUUGAGGACCUGUGAGUGACAAGCCUUUUGAGGGUGUGCCUCCAACUCCCACACUCUGUAGGUGUAGGCGGGUGGGAAGAGCACGGGAGGAGCUCUUCACUUCCCAACUUCAGAUCCAGUGAUUUCUCUGGAAUUCACUUGCUUGUCAAGAGCACAUGACAAUCCAUGAGUGACAUGGGCUGCCAUUUCUACAGUUACAUUUUGAAUGUUUCAGGGGUUUGACAUUUGAACCUUGGCAAGAGGUCAUCAAACGUUGGUUUAAAGUGCCAAAAUUAGGAAACAAUAUCUUGUACUGCUUUUUAAGGUUUGUACUAUAAGCCAAGGAGUGUCAUGAUUUUAUUCUUACAUUUUAUUGGUUAGCUGUUGAAUUUAAAUUUAUUACCAUUUGAGUAGACUUCUUCAUUACUGCAGGUAAGGAAAGGUGAGGCAUAGGUCUUUCUAAGAUGAUAGUGGACACUAUAACUUAUCCCAUAAACCACAUUGCCUCUUUACCUCCUUAUUCCAUCCUUAAAAGCAUGGCAUUAGAUAAAGUAGAUAAAAGACAGUGAAAGUCUUGGACCUAUUACACUGAUUUAGAUGUUACCUCAUGUCCAGAAAUACUGUACAAGCUAAUCACAGGCUUAAGAGUAAUGUCAACAGCAGGGGUUGUGCACUGCAGUCCUGGCCACAGACAUCUAAUCUUUCUUCCCUCCUUUUUCCUUAUGUAACCCUUGGUUUCUCAUGGCACUGGCUCUGUCUCCAGACAACCCCCAAACUUUCUUCCCCCACUGAUCAUCUGAGAAGGUAUGUGUGUCUUCCACCAGGUACAAGAUCCUUUUUUUUGAUGGUGGUUUUGGGGAUUGAACCAGGG
This 907-nucleotide long non-coding RNA is filed under the name Marmota monax (woodchuck). The record is from RNAcentral. Lineage: Eukaryota; Metazoa; Chordata; Mammalia; Rodentia; Sciuridae.